UCCCAUAGUUGGCAAACUUAUCGAAAGGUUAGGACGCAAAGCCAUGGGUCUACUGUACCACGGGUACUAUGAUUGCCAGGUUGCCGUU
RNAcentral lists this non-coding RNA (88 nucleotides) under Sporomusa sphaeroides. RNAcentral's name for it is "Sporomusa sp. c-di-GMP sequence". It matches the Rfam family "c-di-GMP-I riboswitch aptamer". Rfam says of the family: GEMM was predicted in a large-scale screen for bacterial structured RNA regulatory elements. Genes associated with GEMM are involved in a diverse array of functions, including chemotaxis regulation, signal transduction, secretion and chitin. RNAcentral also lists the same sequence under 1 other name. Lineage: Bacteria; Bacillati; Bacillota; Negativicutes; Selenomonadales; Sporomusaceae. The record is from RNAcentral.